Molecule: long non-coding RNA, 1750 nt
Organism: Mercenaria mercenaria
Lineage: Eukaryota; Metazoa; Mollusca; Bivalvia; Venerida; Veneridae
Exons: 5
Source: RefSeq, a predicted model, not a curated record
GCUAGUGUUAAAAUCAAUAAUAUCGGAUGAAGAUCUUUAAGUUUAAACGUUUCAACAUUUAGUGAAAUAUCACAAACCUAAUGAGUGAAUUAGCGAAUUGUUUCCCUUUGAAAUCAACACGCCAUUAUCGGUGGAUACAUGUCUGAAACUGGGUCAGAGAAUACAUGCAGUUAUUGCUCUGAAUAUACGCGGAUAUUUAAAGUGCAUGGCGGAUUUAAUAAUUGUUAUGGAUAACCUCCAGCAGUAAGAAAUAUAAAGGCUCACUGGAGUUUUGAGUGCUCAACAAGUAUUGACCCCAUACUAUGCUUGAAGCAAGUAGUGCCCUUGUAUUUCUGUGAAUCCUCAUGCAGUACAGUACUGCUGUUGGAAGAGGAGCAAACAGUGUGGUAUCUAUGGUCCACCAUCACUUCAAGCAUCAUGGCUAUGGGGAAAAGAAUGUUUCAUUACAUAUGGACAAUUAUAUUGGACAAAAUAAGAAAAGUGUUGUAAUAAGCUAUGGAAUGUGGCUUGUUAUGAUGGGUCUACAUGAUGACUAGGAGUACAACCUGAUUGAGGCCCGGCAUACAGAAUUCAGCCCUGAACAUGUUUUGAAUGUCUUCUGCAUGACCUGGUAUAGAUAGUAUUCUUGAAGGAUUAUAACUUCAACACAGAGACGGAGAUUACUAUUUUUAGGCAGGGGGUUGGCAUGACAGGCAAAUUCACCAACCGUAUUACCAUUCCUGAGCUGGAUGCCAGUCGACAGUGGUACCUGUAUAAUGAAAUAGCGCCCCUUUGCAGCAACAGCAAUGUAUGCUCAAAACCAGCAGUGUCAAAGCCAUUAAAAUUGAUAAUUCAAGUCAUUUAAAACGAAGAAUGAAUGGAAAAAAGUGUUUAACAUUUAAAGUAAUACAGAGAAAGAGCUUUGAAAUUUUGAUUAAUUUGAAAGUGUUUUUGAUUUUUUGAAGAUGUACUAGACCCUAAUUCCAUAUAUUUGAAAAAGAACAAAUGAUACAUAUAGUUUAUGUAAACAUUGAAUUAACAACUUUAUGGUGUCAACAGUACUAUGCCUUUGUUAAAUAUUGACUCACUAUAUACAUGUAAGGCUGAACACAGAAUAAAUGUGAAAUUCCUCUAAAACACUGGAAGAUUUUUCAACAGUAAUUGUAACAUAUAUGGUAGUAAUGUACAUUUUUUUCAUUACGACAGUUGGAUUAUAUAGAUCUACAAAUAUUUUCUGCUGUAUUCAAACUGUAAUCACUUCUGUCGGCAGUAUCAUGUUUAUUUUCCCUUUUCAUGAACAAUUAAUUUAACCUGUCUUGAAAGCACAAUAUAUGUAUAAUUUGUAAAACAUACAUUGGAUUAUUGUGGAAACAAUUUAGUUUUUGUAUGCCUAAUUAUAUAUUACUGCCGUUAGUAUCAUCUAACUCUUUUAAUAUGAUCAAAACAUUUAAUAAGGCAGUUUUCUUAAACUAUUACUGUGUGUUAAAUGAGAUUAUGUAGUAUUAUGUUUACGGAAUUAACUGCGUAACCAUGGAAACAUUUUUCUGUUGUUCUAUAUUAUGUCUUGAAAAAAAAACAUUGUCCGAAGAACACUUUUCAGUGGUGCAUUUUUUUAAAAUUUUUACAUGUAAUGGUAAAUGCUGAAAGUGUUCUACAAUAACUUAGCAAAAACGUCAUUGUUGUCUCAUUGAAGCAUAUACUGCAACUCCAUUGUAACCAUAGCAACAGAAAUAUAUUGUAUUAUUUAUGAAUAAUGAUCUUCACAAACAAA